GCUCAGUAGCUGAAUCCCACUGCCUCCACCUGCGACAGAGCAGAUCGUCUCAAAAAAAGAAAAAAAAAAAAAAAAGUUCUUCUACCAAAAUGUCUACACCACGUUGAAUUUUUUGUGUUUCCUUUGUUUUUAGUUCCUGGGGAGUUUUACUUGGAAAAAAAAGCCUCUGGGGACUAGAUAAGGAAGGAAACCUUCCUGUGGACCCUCUUGAGCUCUGUUUUCUUUCCUGGCCUCACUGGUGUGAGCCCACUGACUGCCCUGCUGAUCUCUUGCUUUACUGGAUUUGGGUGAGGACUGAGGAGAGGGACAGGAGGGUAUUCACUGGACACUAUUCAGACUAAAGGAUUAGAUGUCCCAGCUGAAUCUCCCCAAGCCCCACGUCUGCGGCAAAGUCUUCGUGGUGAAACAGGCAGUCUUCAGUAUGAGACGCAUCGAUCUCAGAUCUUAUUCAAUUCCAACUUGUACCAAUCAAAGGCCCUCCCAGCGAAAAUAAAAGCAAAGUCUCCUUCCUCCGGAGCACAUGGGAAUGGCCCCCCAAUAGCUGGGGCAUGCAAGCUGAUGAAGUUUCAUCUUCCACCUCUUACCCAAAUAUGACCUUGCUGAUACCAUCUCCUAUUAGAUGACAAAUCCGGAUGUUUCUAUUGCAUGGUUGUUAUUUGCCACAUGCUUCCUGGACAAGUUUCUAGGUAACCUUAAUGUCUGUGCUGCUGGGGAAGGAGGAGUAGAAAAUAACUCACCUCUUCAGUAAGUGGUUUUAAAAAUAUAACAGUGUUUAAAAGCUUUUAGAGAGCAGCUCUCCUUCCGGCUGCUCCAGCUCUGUUUGCUUUGUGAUAGGAGCCCCCGUAACGC
This 849-nucleotide long non-coding RNA is filed under the name Macaca mulatta (Rhesus monkey). RNAcentral describes it as "lncRNA (ENSMMUG00000047813.2)". The record is from RNAcentral. Lineage: Eukaryota; Metazoa; Chordata; Mammalia; Primates; Cercopithecidae.